GUUUGCCUCCACAUUUAACAAGAGUAACAGUGAACAGAUGAACCAGAAUAUCUCUGUGCAUCUCCCAUGGCAUUGCUUUUAUUUCCAAAGAGCAGUGAAGUAGUUCAGAGGUCAGGAUAGUGGGAGCUGUAUCCUAACAUUGUUUCUCUCUCUUUUUUUUUUUUUUUCUUCCCAAAGACAUUCCAAAACCACACGUCUCCAGUUCACACCAGAAGUAUCCACUAGCUGCUACAGAAUAGUGAAGCAUUUUUAUUGCUGUAGACUCAGAAACUAUGGAGUUCCUACCAAUCAAAAUCUUUAUAUAGGAAAGGUUUCUCUUGUGUAGCACUGUGAAUGGACUCAGAAAUGUGAUCCCAGGGCACCAUUUGCAAAGGAACCAUAUUGACAUAGGCAGCCCUCUUGUACAAAUGAAGGUAAGUAACGCUGAAGGCUGGAUUUGCUCACUACCAUGUUAGGAGGGGCUGAUAAUUUUUUUCCUUUCCCUUGGUGAGAAGGGAGCCAUGCUAUUUUUAAAACUGCCACCUCCUGUAACAUGUAAUGCUUUUUUUGAGGCAACAUGAGUAGUUUGCUAGGCUUUGCAAAAAUGAUAGUGGCUUCCACUCAGUGACUUUCUGUGACAAGACUGAGGAGCAGAAUAUCAGCCAGGGAGGCAGAAUACAGUGUUGUCAGAAGAGCAGAAUACAAGGUUGUUGGUCAAGUAUUGCUCAGGAG
This 711-nucleotide long non-coding RNA is filed under the name Corvus moneduloides (New Caledonian crow). RNAcentral's name for it is "lncRNA (ENSCMUG00000020100.1)". The record is from RNAcentral. Lineage: Eukaryota; Metazoa; Chordata; Aves; Passeriformes; Corvidae.